RNAcentral lists this ribosomal RNA (207 nucleotides) under uncultured Eubacteriales bacterium. Its description in RNAcentral is "uncultured Clostridiales bacterium partial 16S ribosomal RNA". It matches the Rfam family "Bacterial small subunit ribosomal RNA", at positions 568 to 774 of the family's 1533-position model. The record is from RNAcentral. Lineage: Bacteria; Bacillati; Bacillota; Clostridia; Eubacteriales.
CGUGUAGGCGGGUUGUCAAGUCAGAUGUGAAAUUCCAGGGCUCAACCCUGGAGCUGCAUCUGAAACUGAUGAUCUUGAGUACUGGAGAGGGAAGCGGAAUUCCUAGUGUAGCGGUGAAAUGCGUAGAUAUUAGGAGGAACACCAGUGGCGAAGGCGGCUUUCUGGACAGUAACUGACGCUGAGGCGCGAAAGCGUGGGGAGCAAACA